UUUCUCAAUGGGGGAAACCCUGAAGGAGCGACGCCGCGUGGAGGAUGAAGGCUUUCGGGUUGUAAACUCCUGUCAUUUGAGAACAAUGGCUACGCGUUAACUGCGCGGAGCUUGAUAGUAUCAGAAGAGGAAGGGACGGCUAACUCUGUGCCAGCAGCCGCGGUAAUACAGAGGUCCCAAGCGUUGUUCGGAUUCAUUGGGCGUAAAGGGUGCGUAGGUGGCGCUGUAAGUCAGGUGUGAAAUUUCGGAGCUUAACUUCGAAACUGCAUUUGAUACUGCGGUGCUUGAGGACUGGAGAGGAGACUGGAAUUUACGGUGUAGCAGUGAAAUGCGUAGAGAUCGUAAGGAAGACCAGUGGCGAAGGCGGGUCUCUGGACAGUUCCUGACACUGAGGCACGAAGGCCAGGGGAGCAAACGGGAUUAGAUACCCCGGUAGUCCUGGCAGUAAACGGUGCACGUUUGGUGUGGGAGGAUUCGACCCCUUCUGCGCCGGAGCUAACGCGUUAAACGUGCCGCCUGGGGAGUACGGUCGCAAGAUUAAAACUCAAAGAAAUUGACGGGGGCCCGCACAAGCGGUGGAGUAUGUGGCUUAAUUCGAUGCAACGCGAAGAACCUUACCUGGCCUUGACAUGCAUCUCUAAGCUGGUGAAAGCCAGUGAGUGUCGAAAGACACAAUUUGCACAGGUGCUGCAUGGCUGUCGUCAGCUCGUGUCGUGAGAUGUUGGGUUAAGUCCCGCAACGAGCGCAACCCCUGUGAACUGUUGCCACGUCCUUGAUUGGACAGCACUCUGUUCAGACUGCCCUGUGAAACGGGGAGGAAGGUGGGGACGACGUCAAGUCAGUAUGGCCCUUACGGCCAGGGCUGCACACGUACUACAAUGCCCAGUACAGAACGAUCCGAGACCGCGAGGUGGAGGAAAUCUAGUAAAACUGGGCCCAGUUCGGAUUGGAGUCUGCAACUCGACUCCAUGAAGCCGGAAUCGCU
Molecule: ribosomal RNA, 985 nt
Filed under: uncultured Verrucomicrobiota bacterium
Lineage: Bacteria; Pseudomonadati; Verrucomicrobiota
Description: bacterial SSU rRNA
Rfam family: Bacterial small subunit ribosomal RNA
Source: RNAcentral